GAGGGGCCCGCGCCCGAUUAGCUAGUUGGUGAGGUAAUGGCUCACCAAGGCAUUGAUCGGUAGCUGGUCUGAGAGGAUGAUCAGCCACACUGGAACUGAGACACGGUCCAGACUCCUACGGGAGGCAGCAGUGGGGAAUCUUGCACAAUGGGCGAAAGCCUGAUGCAGCGACGCCGCGUGGGGGAUGAAGCAUUUCGGUGUGUAAACCCCUUUCGAUCCGGACGAAACCCCGCAAGGGAUUGACGGUACGGAUAUAAGAAGCCCCGGCUAACUACGUGCCAGCAGCCGCGGUAAGACGUAGGGGGCCAGCGUUGUUCGGAAUUACUGGGUGUAAAGGGUUCGUAGGCGGUGUAGCAAGUCGGGAGUGAAAUCUUUGGGCUUAACCCAGAGGCUGCUUCCGAAACUGCUGUGCUUGAGUGUGGGAGAGGCGCGUGGAAUUGCAGGUGUAGCGGUGAAAUGCGUAGAUAUCUGCAGG
RNAcentral lists this ribosomal RNA (475 nucleotides) under uncultured Acidobacteriota bacterium. Its description in RNAcentral is "bacterial SSU rRNA". It matches the Rfam family "Bacterial small subunit ribosomal RNA", at positions 224 to 704 of the family's 1533-position model. Lineage: Bacteria; Pseudomonadati; Acidobacteriota. The record is from RNAcentral.